Molecule: ribosomal RNA, 508 nt
Filed under: uncultured archaeon
Lineage: Archaea
Description: bacterial SSU rRNA
Rfam family: Archaeal small subunit ribosomal RNA
Source: RNAcentral
GUUGGAUAAUCUGCCCUAAGGUGGAGGAUAACCUCGCGGAAACUGAGAAUAAUACUCCAUAGAUCUGGGAUGCUGGAAUGCACCUAGGUUUAAAGCUCCGGCGCCUAAGGAUGAGUCUGCGGACUAUCAGGUUGUAGUCAGGGUAAUGACCUGACUAGCCUACGACGGAUACGGGUUGUGAGAGCAAUAACCCGGAGAUGAUAUCUGAGACACGAUAUCAGGCCCUACGGGGCGCAGCAGGCGCGAAAACUUCACACUGUGCGAAAGCACGAUGAGGGAAUCCCAAGUGCUUGCUCAUUAGAGUAAGCUGUUUCUAUGUUUAAAAUGCAUAGAGAGUAAGGGCUGGGUAAGACGGGUGCCAGCCGCCGCGGUAAUACCUGCAGCUCGAGUGGUGGCCGCUAUUAUUGGGCCUAAAACGUCCGUAGCCGGUUUAAUAAAUGCCUAGGUAAAUCGUGUAGCUUAACUAUACGAAUUCCGGGUAGACUGUUGGACUUGAGACCGGGAGAAG